GCGAAGACUUAUCUGGUAGCUCUAUGGUCGCGGCGUUUUACUGGCCACAGGAAUCAAGAUCUUCCAUUUCUUUCUUUCGAUCGGCAGCGUCUCUUCCCCCCGCCGGAGUAUGCGGUUCGCCGGCUUCCUCCUCGACGGCGCCGCUCGCACCUUCCGACACCAAGGCGCCUUUUCCAAGCUAUUGGUCGUCCUCGCCGCAAGUGGCGGAGGCAUUGUGGCAUACGCGGAUGCGAGAACAGAUGCAGCUGCGGAGUCUGCUCAAAUUGCCUCCAAAAAGAAGGUGGUAGUGCUUGGAACUGGGUGGGGUGGCACUACCUUCUUGAAGAAUCUCGAUAGCUCCUUGUACGAUGUGCAAGUGAUAUCACCUCGCAACUACUUUGCAUUCACGCCUUUGUUGCCCAGUGUCACAUGUGGAACUGUGGAACCGCGAAGCAUUAUCGAACCCGUGCGUAGAAUCAUAAGAAAGAAGGAUGGACAAAUUAAAUUUUGGGAAGCUGAGUGCUUCAAAAUUGAUCCUGACGCAAAAAAGUUACAUUGCCGUACUAAUAUAGGGACAAAUUUGGAAGGGAACGGUGAGUUUAUUGUCGAUUAUGAUUACUUGGUGAUAACAGUUGGAGCAAGAGCAAGUACAUUCAACACCCCGGGUGUGGUGGAGCAUUGCCAUUUCCUGAAGGAAGUUGAGGAUGCUCAGAAAAUACGUGGAAGUGUGAUAGAUUGUUUUGAAAGAGCUACUCUUCCAGACAUUGAUGAAGAAGAAAGGAAGAGAAUUCUUCAUUUUGUGAUUGUUGGGGCUGGUCCAACUGGUGUCGAAUUUGCAGCAGAGUUGCAUGACUUUUUCGCUGAAGAUUUAGCUAAGUUGUACCCUACUGUAAAAGACCUAGUGAAUAUAACAGUAAUUGGGCAUGCAGAGCACAUUUUGACAAUGUUUGACAAAAGGAUAAGUACAUUUGCUGAACAGAAGUUUCAAAGGGAUGGAAUUGAACUAAAAACAGGAUUUAAGGUUGUGAAAGUAUCUGAUAAAACACUCACUAUGCAAAACGGAAUUCACCAACAGUUUUCUGUUCCAUAUGGAAUGGCUGUAUGGUCAACUGGUAUUGGAGCCCAUCCUUUCAUAUUGGAAUUCAUGAAACAAAUUGGUCAGGGUAACAGGCGUGCCUUAGCUACAAAUGAAUGGCUGAGAGUAAGAGAGUGUACUGAUGUGUAUGCUAUUGGCGAUUGUGCUACAAUUGCUCAAAGUAAAAUCAUGGAUGAUAUCUUGGAGAUAUUUAGAUUUGCUGAUAAAGAUAAUUCAGGAAGUUUAACCAUGAAAGAAAUUGAAGAUGUUUUAGAAGAUAUCUGCGCAAAGUAUCCUCAGGUAGAACUCUACCUGAAGAGCAACCACAUGAGCAACAUAGUUGAUUUAAUAAAGGCUUCCAAAGAUGCUGAUAAAAUGGAAUCUGAAGGAAUUAACAUAGAAGAGUUCAAAAUUGCUCUUGCUAAUGUGGAUUCUCAGGUCAAAAGUCUUCCUGCUACAGCUCAGGUAGCUGCACAACAAGGGAUAUACCUUGCUAGAUGCUUUAACAAAAGGAAGGACAGUGAAGAAAAUCCUGAAGGUCCACAGAGGAUCAAGGAAGCGGGAAGACAUCACUUUUUUCCCUUUAGGUGUCAAACUUAUUGAGGAAUCACAAGCCACAGAUGAAAGUUUGAAGUCUUUGCCUAAGCCCAACUUAGCUCUACAACUUCCCUAUGGAUGAUGACAUGUGAAGCCAUUGCCCAGAUGAAUAUCUGAAAAUCUGCAUUUAGAUUAAUCGUCAUGCUUCUGUUAAGGUAUAAGCAUUUUGGGCAAUUUGCACCGUUGGGUGGAGAGCAAACAGCUGCAGAACUCCCGGGCGACUGGAUCUCCAUUGGACACAGCACACAAUGGUUAUGGUACUCUGUUUACGCAAGCAAGCAAGUAAGUUGGCGCACUAGGACGUUGGUGAUAUCUGACUGGGCAAGGCGAUUUGUAUUUGGGAGGGACUCCUGCCGCAUAUAGCCUAGCAAUUUGUUUGACACGAACAGAGUUUGUGUAUUAUCGAUCGAUUAUUUUCACAUCUCUCUCCUGUUAUGAUUGAUUGGUGAAAUGAGUGUGGAAAGUUCUGUUUUGAUCUUGUAAUAGAGCAAGAGAAUCACUCGCAUUACUGCAUUCCGGAAAACUAUUACACAAUUCAAAUAAAGAAUUGCGCUUGAAAUAUUA
Zingiber officinale is the source of this 2215-nucleotide RNA transcript. It is a transcript of the gene named external alternative NAD(P)H-ubiquinone oxidoreductase B3, mitochondrial-like, with no coding region annotated. NCBI's taxonomy places the organism in Eukaryota, Viridiplantae, Streptophyta, Magnoliopsida, Zingiberales, Zingiberaceae. The transcript is spliced from 11 exons. The record is from RefSeq and is a predicted model, not a curated record.